GGCGGCGUGCCUAACACAUGCAAGUCGCACGAGAAAGUGGAGCAAUCCAUGAGUAAAGUGGCGCACGGGUGAGUAACACGUGAAUAAUCUACCUCCGAGUGGGGAAUAACUGAGAGAAAUCUUAGCUAAUACCGCAUAAUACCCACGGGUCAAAGCAGUAAUGCGCUUGGAGAGGAGUUCGCGGCCGAUUAGUUAGUUGGCGGGGUAAUGGCCCACCAAGACGAUGAUCGGUAUCCGGCCUGAGAGGGCGCACGGACACACUGGAACUGAAACACGGUCCAGACUCCUACGGGAGGCAGCAGUGGGGAAUUUUGCGCAAUGGGGGAAACCCUGACGCANCAACGCCGCGUGGAGGAUGAAAUCCCUUGGGAUGUAAACUCCUUUCGAUAGGGAAGAUAAUGACGGUACCUAUAGAAGAAGCCCCGGCUAACUUCGUGCCAGCAGCCGCGGUAAUACGAAGGGGGCAAGCGUUGUUCGGAAUUAUUGGGCGU
This 491-nucleotide ribosomal RNA is filed under the name uncultured Acidobacteriota bacterium. RNAcentral's name for it is "bacterial SSU rRNA". It matches the Rfam family "Bacterial small subunit ribosomal RNA", at positions 38 to 561 of the family's 1533-position model. Lineage: Bacteria; Pseudomonadati; Acidobacteriota. The record is from RNAcentral.